CAGUAGCCGCGGUAAUACGAAGGGGGCUAGCGUUGCUCGGAAUUACUGGGCGUAAAGGGCGCGUAGGCGGACAGUUCAGUCGGGGGUGAAAGCCCGGGGCUCAACCUCGGAAUUGCCUUCGAUACUGGCUGUCUUGAGUAUGAGAGAGGUGUGUGGAACUCCGAGUGUAGAGGUGAAAUUCGUAGAUAUUCGGAAGAACACCAGUGGCGAAGGCGACACACUGGCUCAUUACUGACGCUGAGGCGCGAAAGCGUGGGGAGCAAACAGGAUUAGAUACCCGCGUAGUCCCUGUCUCUUAUAC
RNAcentral lists this ribosomal RNA (301 nucleotides) under uncultured bacterium. Its description in RNAcentral is "partial 16S ribosomal RNA". It matches the Rfam family "Bacterial small subunit ribosomal RNA", at positions 509 to 807 of the family's 1533-position model. The record is from RNAcentral.